UAUAUCUUGAUGAGAAACUUACUCUGAAAACUAUGCUGACCAACCAAGCAAAAUUAACCAAAAGGAUACUGAUAAUA
This 77-nucleotide small nucleolar RNA is filed under the name Drosophila grimshawi. Its description in RNAcentral is "small nucleolar RNA Me28S-Cm3227". It matches the Rfam family "Small nucleolar RNA Me28S-Cm3227". Rfam says of the family: Me28S-Cm3227 is a member of the C/D class of snoRNA which contain the C (UGAUGA) and D (CUGA) box motifs. Lineage: Eukaryota; Metazoa; Arthropoda; Insecta; Diptera; Drosophilidae. The record is from Rfam by way of RNAcentral.